CAUUGCGAGGGACAUUUAUUUUAGGGUCUUCAACAUUUAACUUUGACAUUGCAAGGGACAUUUAUUUACAUUUAGCUUUGACAUUGCAAGGGGCAUUUAUUUUAGGGCCUUUCACAUUCACCUCUUUGCAUAUAGAACGCUGUGACAUUGCAAGGGUUCCACAGCACUUCAAUUAAUUUCCGAGCUUCCCUUCACCUCCGUACCCAAAGUCAUGUCAAUAUGUUUGGGCGUAGUCAUUGCCAUACACUUCACGGCACAUCAAAUUCAUAUACGAGCUUCCCUUCACCUCCGUACCCUAAAUCAUGUCAAUAUGUUUGGGGUAACUCGCUGAUACACUUCCGCCCCUGUUCCUUCGUCAUGUCAUCUUUGGGCCGAGUCGCUGCCGCACUCUCUCGCCGCAAGCUUCAGUCAUGAUGUCAUGUCUCCUGCCUGGCUUCUCUUGGCUUUCCUUGCAUGUCUGAGCGGAGGCGUGGAUGUGCGUUCGCCAUUUCUGCCUUAACGAGAGUCUGUUUUAUCUCGCUUUAAUCUCGACGGAAAAUAGUCAUUGUUUAUUUAUUUAUUUAUAUAUUUAUUUUUACAACAAAGGAGACAGCUCAAGGGCGCACACAAUAAAGGAAACAAUAAUAAAGAAAAAGCCCGCUACUCGCUGCUCCUAAAAAGAAUCCAAAGAGGUGGCCGAAAGAGAGGUCAGUUUCGGGAUCUGGUGUUGUUUACUGGUACGAAAUGAUAGGACAGUGAAUUAGGUUUUGCUGUGAGGUCCUUGAGGUGUGUUUUGCCAUUUCUGCCUUCACGAGAGUCAGUUUUAUCUCACUUUUGUCUCGACGGAAAAUAAAGUCCUUGUUUUGGGUGUUGUUUACUGGUACGAAAUGAUAGGACAGUGAAUUAGGUUUUGCUGUGAGGUCCUUGAGGUGUGUUUUGCCAUUUCUGCCUUCACGAGAGUCAGUUUUAUCUCACUUUUGUCUCGACAGAAAAUAAAGUCCUUGUUUUGGGUGUUGUUUACUGGUACGAAAUUAUAGGACAGUGAAUUAGGGUUUGCUGUGAGGUCCUUGAGGUGUGUUUUGCCAUUUCUGCCUUCACGAGAAUCAAUUAUUUUUCUUUUUCAUCUCGACGGAAAAUAAAGUCCUUGUUUUGGGUGUUGUUUGCUGGUACGAAAUGAUAGGACAGUGAAUUAGGUUUUGCUGUGAGGUCCUUCAUGUGUGUGUUUUGCCAUUUCUGCCUUCACGAGAAUCAGUUAUUUUUAAUUUUCAUCUCGACGGAAAAUAAAGUCCUUGUUUUGGGUGUUGUUUACUGGUACGAAAUGAUAGGACAGUGAAUUAGGUUUUGCUGUGAGGUCCUUUAUGUGUGUGUUUUGCCAUUUCUGCCUUCACGAGAAUCAAUUAUUUUUCAUUUUCAUCUCGGCAGAAAAUAAGAAAGUCACGAUUUUUAUAAUAAUUUACUUCAGGCGAAAAAAUCACGUCGUGCUAUUGUAAAGUGAUUCAUUCUUGUUUGUCACUUCUUCCUUCACGAGUUUCAUUCUUUACUUCUAUCUCGUCGGAAAAUAGGAAAAAGUCAUGAUUCUUCUUAAAAUUUACAUGUACCAAACGUCACUGCUAUAAGCUAGGUCUUAUCAUAGUUGUCUGAAACAUAGAUAAACAUUCCCAAAGGCCUUAAUCUGCAGACCCGUUUGGCUCCUCCGUGCUAGUGCCUGUAUCCUGUCUUGGGCGUCUGGGUUCGAAUCCUAGGCGGAGUUUUGUCCCGAACAGAUCAGUUUCUUAUGUGCUGCGAUAAGUGGAGAUAACCCCUCAAAAAAAUAGGUGUUGGAAGUGUGUGGCAGAGCAGAGGGGUGAAAUAGACCCCUGGGAGACAAUGCCAACACAGACUCGACAAUUUGGUUUCACUGUUAUUUAUUUACUCACUUGAUGUCUACUAAAAAUUGCCAAAUCAGCGUUACCAAAUUAUCGUACUCAGCGCAUUGCAUUUUCUUAGUUUCUGACCGAUAAAUAUAGCAGAAAAAACGAAAACCAUCAAUAUUUAACAGUUUUAACGAUAACUUUAAAUUUCUAUCGUUAUUUUUGUGGUUACGACAGUCUUGGAGCCUAAAAAUGAUAAAUGUAGUGUUCAGUGUACGACAAUUUGGCAACGCUGUCCCAAAUCCUCCUAUAUAGCCAGUCUUGCUUUUUCACGGGUAUAUUUCAGGUUUCAGAGGUCGCCGGGUCAAUCUGGCGAGUCUGUUUUCUGUGUCGAGAUCGGUGGGACUUUCACUCUUGCUGUUACGCUCCAAUCACUGCGUUCGCUCUUACGUUGCUUAUGCCGUGGAAUGGGCUGAAGGGUGAGAGUUCAUUUUCUGCGACACCAGUUUAACCCAGUGGUAGCUGCGGGGAUCAUGUUUCGUAAUGGUCCCUCUAAGCGAGAAAAAUGAGAAAAAAUCAUCACUCACGCAAACCGUUUCAUAAUAUAUAUAAACGCAUUUGUGAUCAGUUUAUGCAUCAUCUAUUUUUGGGGUUUAUAUCAUGGCAGAAAUUUGGCCUGUCGCUGCUACACGGUAAAGCCACAAAUUUAGCCUGUCGCUGCUACACGGUAAAGCCACAAAUUUAGCCUGUCACUGGUACAUGGUAAAGCCACAAAUUUAGCCUGUCACUGGUACAUGGUAAAGCCACAAAUUUAGCCUAUCGCUGCUACACGGUAAAGCCACAAAUUUAGCCUGUCGCUGGUACACAGUAAAGCCACAAAUUUAGCCCGUCGCUCGUACACGGUAAAGCCACAAAUUUAGCCUAUCGCUGGUACACGGUAAAGCCACAAAUUUGGCCCGUCACUGCUACACGGUAAAGCCACAAAUUUAGCCUGUUGCUGCUACACGGUUAAAGAAUCUAAAAAAGUUGCGUCCAGAGGGCUAUACGGACAAACAUUACUCUUUUUUUUUUUUUUUUUAUACAAGAAAGGAGACAGCUCAAGGGCACACAAAAAAAGAAAACAAUAAUAUAAAAAAAAAACCCGCUACUCGCUGCUCCUAAAAAGAAUCCAAAGAGAGGCAUAGGCAAAGGAGAGGAAGAAAGAUUGAAAAAGAGGAAAUAGAGGAGAGACAGGGAAAGAAAUAGGAAACAAUACACGUUAGACGGAAUAGACAGAGCUUAGCGGAUAAAAGGAGAGAGAGGAUAAAAGGAGUUAGUUCAGUCGUCCCUCAAAUAGUACGGUUUUCAAUAGUUCGGUUCCGGUUUUAUGCGGAUUGUUGUAGAUCUUUUUAGGACUUUCAAAUUUCCUGCCCGUCGGGAAAUUCAAAAAUCCUAAAAAAAUCUAUAAAAAUCCACAUUCAACCGAAACCGUACUAUUUAAGGGAGGACUCCAUAUAAAAGGAAGAAGAAGAACACAUAACAAGAUAAGAGAACAGCGUAAUCAACCGUUCAUUCAACACACCCCAUAACAGAGGCUAUUUUGUUAUUUAAUUAUUUUUAUUUUAUUUAUUUAUUUAUUUUUUUUACGUCUACGCCUAUUGCCCCGGUACGCUUGCUUAAGGGGCCUGGAUGGUAGUCGGCCCCAGCCCUUCAUGGCACAGGCAAGUGUUUAUAGUGGCGCCAUCAGCUCCCUUCACAUACUACCUAAUAUAAAUCGCUAAGUCAGAUUGGCUCCACUUUAGAGAAUGCAAGAGUCGUGUCCACAAUCAAAUUUUUUUACGGUGAGGAUAAUCUCGGGACUAUCAAUACCUUCCCGUGCCACCAGAGGGCUAGGCUAGGGCUGCCCACCAUUGCCUUUAUCAUACUAACUAAUAUAGAGCAGUGUAAGACUUCAUUCCCACGGCAAUGCUUUAAAUAACGUUAAAAAAAUCGCGUUCAUGGUCAGAUAUUUUCCAGUAAGCGUUAUUUCAAGCUUCAUUUCCCUCGACAUCACUUAAAAUAACGUUAAAAGAAUCACGUUCAUGGUCAGAUAUUUUCCAGUAAGGGUUAUUUCAAGCUUCAUUUCCCUCGACAUCACUUAAAAUAACGUAAAAAGAAGCGUUCAUGGUCAGAUAUUUUCCAGUAAGGGUUAUUUCAAGCUUCAUUUCCCUCGACAUCACUUAAAAUAACGCAAAAAGAAUCACGUUCAUGGUCAGAUAUUUUCCAGUAAGGGUUAUUUCAAGCUUCAUUUCCCUCGACAUCACUUAAAAUAACGAAAAAAGAAUCACGUUCAUGAUCAGAUAUUUUCCAGUAAGGGUUAUUUCAGGGUUCAUUUCCCUCGGCAUCACUUUAAAUAACGUCAAAAGAAUCGCGUUCACGAUCAGACAUUUUCCAGUAAGCGUUAUUUCAAGCUUCAUUUUCCUCGACAUCACUUUAAAUAACGUAAAAAGAAUCGCGUUCAUGAUCAUAUAAUUUCCAGCAAGGGUUAUUUCAGGGGUAUAAUUGCUUUCAUGUGCCACCAGAGGGAUAUAGGAUGACUAACAGGCCUCUUAACAUACUAACUAAUUUAACCUUCAUUUCCCUCGGCAUCGCUUAAAAUAACGUAAAAAGAAUCGCGUUCAUGACCAGACAUUUUCCAGUGAGGGUUAUUUCUCGACUGUUAAUGUCUGCCCGUGCCACCAGAGGGCUAGGCUAGGGCUGCCCACCAGUGCCCUAAAUAUAGCACACAGGGAAAUGGCACUGCACGUUGAAUAAAAGAUGUUUCGGUCCAUUCCCGAGUUGGUGUUUACGUUAUAUAAAUUCACUUAGGCCCCCUUCGCACUGGGCCACGACAACCCAGCGAUUUUUCAGCCCCCUUCACACUGUUCCGAAUCAGCAUCUGGCGAUUGUUUCUAGACCUCUUUCCGAACAUGUGCGACCUUUUCACAUCAACAGUUCACACCCAAGACCGGAGUCGCUGGGUUGUCAUGGCCCAGAGUCGGCAGGGUGUGAACGGGGCUUAACCUGGUAGCAGCAACGGGCCAAAUUUGUGGCUUUACCGUGUAGCAGUGACAGGUCAAAUUUGUGUCUUUACCGUGUAGCAGCGACGGGCCAAAUUUGUGGCUUUACCGUGUAGCAGCGACGGGCCAAAUUUGUGGCUUUACCAUGUAGUAGCGACGGGCCAAAUUUGUGGCUUUACCAUGUAGUAGCGACGGGCCAAAUUUGUGCCAUGAUAUAACCCCCAAAAUAGAUGAUACCUAAUCUGAUCACAAAUGCUUCGAUAUAUAUUAUGAAAUGGUUUGUGAGAGUGAUGAUUUUUUCUCGUUUUUCUCGCUUAGAGGGACCAUUAAGAAACAUGAUCCCCGCAGCUACCAGGUUAACUCUCUCCAGGUUCCAGUCCUUGUUCUUACCAGUUCAGUCACCUGUGCUGGGCCUGUUUGCUUUACGCUCACGAAAGGGCUGCAACGCUUUAUUUACGCUUCCUCGCAAUGUUUUUAUUUACGCUUCCAUUCACUAACAGGCUGUACGCAAGUUUGUCCAUGAGAGGCGGGAGAUAGCUGAGAGACAGAGACAAAGAAAACAUCAAGAUUGGAAAUGUUUCGAUCCGCAAGUUAAACGAAUUUGUGCUUUCAUGCCCCAAGAGUUUAUUUUCUCUUUUUCUAUUUUCCUGUUCCAACAUGACCUCUGUGUGUAUCGGAACGCACGAGAAAUUAAUCAAGACAAGGAGAGGGUGUUCGCCGGCUGCCUGGGAUUGCUGAGUGGGUUAUGGGAGGCUCGUUCAUCAGGCAUUGUCGCUGUACUUCAGUGCAGCUCAAGAGACUGAGGGUUGUAGACAUUUCGCCGCCAAAGAACACAUAUUUGACAAGGCUUUCAUAGGAGUUGUGGGCAUUUCCAGGAGUAGUUUCAUGACCCUGGUGUUAGUUUGACCCUUCUUCUGUACCCUGAACCUAAGGAAACACAUAUUUGACAAUGCUUUCAUAGGAGUUGUGGGCAUUUCCAGGAGUAGUUUUGUGACCCUGGUGUUAGUUUGACCCUUCUUCUGUACCCUGAACCUAAGGAAACACAUAUUUGACAAGGCUUUCAUAGGAGUUGUGGGCAUUUCCAGGAGUAGUUUUAUGACCCUGGUGUUAGUUUGACCCUUCUUCUGUACCCUGAACCUAAGGAAACACUCAUUAGAACCCUACUGACCCCAUCUUUAACCUUCAGAAAUUGUUAAUGUGAGAAGCGAUUGUGUCUUCUGAUACCAACCUGAAUCCCUAAUAGAAGAUUAUCAGUAUAGUCAAAACAUCUCGGAGAAAGUCUUACAGAAUGGUUGAGUUAGUCAGGGGAAGGAUGUGCAACUCUUGAGACGGUAACUUGGUGGGCUAAAGUUUAUUAAGAAGUACAGAAAGGUGAGAUAAAGUUUGUAAAUAAGUAAAAAAAAUGACAAAGAAAACAUGGAUAGUGGUCAGCAUGGUUUCAAUUCGGAUUCGUAAAUUCUGAGAAAACACGAGUAUUGGUUGACGUCGCUUAAAGUUACUGUCAAGAUUCGUAAAUUUAGGAGAAAGACGCUGAACUUACGGAAGAUCUAAAAUAUGGUAGAGAGCUGUGGAAAUAGAUUGGGGCUGUUAUGUUAGCCGCUGAACUCACGGACGAUUUAAAAUAUGGUAGAGAGCUGUGGAAAUAGAUUGGGGCUGUUAUGUUAGCCGCUGAACUCACGGACGAUCUAAAAUAUAGUAGAAAGCUGUGGAAAUAGAUUGGGGCUGUUAUGUUAGACGCUGAACUCACGGACGAUCUAAAAUAUGGGAGAGAGCUGUGGAAAUAGAUUGAGGCUGUUAUGUUAGCCGCUGAACUUACGGACGAUCUAAAAUAUGGGAGAGUUGUGGAACUUAAUUGCGGCCGUUCUAUUCACCCACAGCCUAGGACAGUAUAGGAGUGGAUGGUUUUGCUUAAUACCCAACAACACACCAAACAUGUUAUACUCAUUCACGUCAUCUGAGCUUCACCGUAUAGAGUUGGCCCUUUAAAGACUGUCGCAUUUUUGAGUUUUUCCUAUUGAGAAUUUAAAAAGUUAUCCUCUUAAGUAAUUUCUCAUUUUACGAAGUUUUUGCGUUGAGAUUUUUUCCUUUUCAAUCAUUUUUUCCUUUUCCUAUAUGUAAUUUCUCAUUUUAAGAAGUUUUUGCAUUGAUAUUUUUCCCUUUCAAUAGCUUUCUCCUUUUCCUAUAUGUAAUUUCUCAUUUUAAGAAGUUUUUACAUUGAUAUUUUUCCUUUCAAUAGUUUUCUCCUUUUCCUCUAUGUAAUUUCUCAUUUUAAGAAGUUUUUCUGUUGAUAUUUUUCCCUUUCAAUAGUUUUCUCCUUUUCCAAUACGUAAUUUCUCAUUUUAAGAAGUUUUUCCGUUGAUAUUUUUCCCUUUCAAUAGAUUUUUCCUUUUCCUAUAUGUAAUUUCUCAUUUUAAGAAGUUUUUACAUUGAUAUUUUUCCUUUCAAUAGUUUUCUCCUUUUCCUAUAUGUAAUUUCUCAUUUUAAGAAGUCUUUCUGUUGAUAUUUUUUCCUUUCAAUAGAUUUUUCCUUUUCCUAUAUGUAAUUUCUCAUUUUAAGAAGUUUUUCCGUUGAUAUUUUUCCCUUUCAAUAGAUUUUUCCUUUUCCAAUACGUAAUUUCUCAUUUUAAGAAGUUUUUCCUGUGAUAUUUUUUCCCUUUCAAUAGUUUUUUCCUUUUCCUAUAUGUAAUUUCUCAUUUUAAGAAUUUUUUCCGUUGAUAUUUUUCCCUUUCAAUAGAUUUUUCCUUUUCCUCUGUGUAAUUUCUCAUUUUAGUUGCUCAUUUUAAGUUAUUUGCAUUGAUAUUUUUCCCUUCAAUAUUUUUUCCUUUUCCUAUACUUAACUUCUCCAUGGUUGAGGCUGGCGGCUUUUCAAAGUCUCCGCCACUCACUCUCCCGUACCUCUAUCUCAACAAUUCGAUCUUUUCCCUUUCCAGACGUGUCAUUUAAACAUCAUCUUAAACUUACAAUAUUCUUCUCAUUCGUAGGUAUAUCAUUCAAUCCUAUAUGUCUCGGUUCUGUAUUUUCCUCAUCCGUUAGUGUGGCAUUGGGCAUUGAUACCUCCAUCUUCGACAGUCUGUAUUUCUCUCGAUCCUGAAUUGUGGCAUUGAAACUCCUAUCUUCCGUUUCCUCUGUUUAUCUUGUCAAGGGGUGCGCUAUUUAAACCCCUGUUAUUAGUUUUCUUUGUUUUACUUUAUGAGUUUUCUAUGUUAACCCGUCCGCUGCGAUUGUCAGGGAUUUCGCCUUCACUGGUAGCCUGGUAACAUACACUCCCAGGUCUUUCUCUACCUCUGUGGUGGAUAGUGGAGUGUUUCCCAUGUGGUAUUGGUAUGCUGGAUAUCCCUUCACUGGUAGCCUGGUAACAUACACUCCCAGGUCUUUCUCUACCUCUGUGGUGGAUAGUGGAGUGUUUCCCAUGUCGUAUUGGUGUGCUGGAUAUCCCUUCACUGGUAGCCUGGUAACAUACACUCCCAGGUCUUUCUCUGCCUCUGUGGUGGAUAGUGGAGUGUUUCCCAUGUGGUAUUGGUGUGCUGGAUAUCCCUUCACUGGUAGCCUGGUAACAUACACUCCCAGGUCUUCCUCUACCUCUGUGGUGGAUAGUGGAGUGUUUCCCAUGUGGUAUUGGCAUGCUGGAUAUCCCUUCACUGGUAGCCUGGUAACAUACACUCCCAGGUCUUUCUCUGCCUCUGUGAUGGAUAGUGGAGUGUUUCCCAUGUGGUAUUGGUGUGCUGGAUAUCCCCUCCCAAGGUGCAGGACUUUACAUUUUUCUUCAUUGAAUUGUAGCAGCCACUUUUUGUUCCAUUUCUGUAGCUUGGUGAGGUCUUCUGGUAGGAAAUCCGCGUCAAGGGGUUAAACUCAUCCGGAACUGUACCAUAUAUAUUCGACUUUCUAUAUUUUACGUCAUCCGGAGGUGUGGUUGUCAGGCAUCAUUCCUUCACCCACAAGGGCAUACGAGGACCAAGCGUUUCAGACCUCAAACAGCUGGUGGAUAUGGACCAUAGUUAGGCUACGGGCUGUCGUGUGUUAGAAUUUAGAGUUGAGAUGCAGUGAUUUCGGCUAGUAGGCAGCCUGUAUUUAGCUAGUUGUAUUUACCUAGUUGUAGUUUUCCAGGGCCUGGGCUUACGCUCAUAUGGUCCCGUCUCCAUAUCUGCAUUUAUCCAACUUUUCCUUAAAGCUUUGCACAUUCCGUGCCGAUACUACAUCCUCACUUAGUCAGUUCCAAACCUCUAUAUUUCUUUGCGGGAAGCUAUAUUUUUUUAUGUCUCAAGCAUCUUCCCUUCCUUUAUUUUUUACUAUGUUCUCUCUGUGUGUGUGUGUGUGUAUGUGUGUGUGUGUGUGUGUGUGUGUGUGUUCCGUUCACACGUCCACGGUACCAUACCAAUACCUCACUUCAAUUCCUGUUUUUAUGUCUCAAGCAUCUUCCCUUCCUUUAUUUUUUACUAUGUUCUCUCUGUGUGUGUGUGCGUGUGUGUGUGUGUGUGUGUGUGUGUGUUCCGUUCACACGUCCACGGUACCAUACCAAUACCUCACUUCAAUUCCUGUUUUUUCGGGAAGAUUAAUUUCAGUGCCAGUAUAUCUGUUAUCAAACUCGUUCAUUCACGGAACACGCCAGACGCUUCACGAUAUUAUUUGUUCCGCCGCCGUGACAUAGUUAUCGGUCUAUUUAUUUACGUACGUGCCAUAUCAUACCGCCCCCAGUACAACGCCGUAGGUAGGAAAUAGAGGGUGGAGUUGGUGGCCAUGUCGACGCUUCAUAUAGUAAACAAUGACCCCAACGUCGUACUCAGCCGCUUGUAUUUCCCGACUUCCUAUUUCCCGACUUCCUACCCCAAAUCUGUCUUCUGGGUUCAAAUAACGAAACCCAUUUAUAGUUAUCGUCAAAAGAGUUAGAUCCUGGUGUUUCUUGGCAAUAUUAGGGGGCUCAGUGGUGCAGUGGUUAGCACACUCAGCUCACAACCGAGAGAGCCCGGGUUCGAUUCCCAGGCGGAGUGGAAAGAUUUGGGUGGCUUUUCCGAUACCCUACGCCCCUGUCCACCCAGCAGUGAAUGGGUACCAGGUAUUAAUUGGGGGUUGUGUCCCGUCUCCUGGGGUCUGUUCCCUUCUCCUAUAAUUCCUUCCCCUUCUGUCUCUCUCCGGCAUAUGACCACAGAUGUUGCGCCGACUAAACCAAACUUUCCAACUUUUCUGUUAGUCAAUCUCCGCUUUACCGACUGAGCUGUCAUAACAUAAGUGACUGAACCUU
Eriocheir sinensis (Chinese mitten crab) is the source of this 10081-nucleotide RNA transcript. RefSeq lists it as uncharacterized. The record is from RefSeq and is a predicted model, not a curated record. The transcript is spliced from 3 exons. NCBI's taxonomy places the organism in Eukaryota, Metazoa, Arthropoda, Malacostraca, Decapoda, Varunidae.